UGGGAUCAAAGAAACAACAAAAGGGCACAAAGACAAAACGAGAGAAAGAUCUAGCUGAACUACCACCAAAGCCUAGCAAAGAAGAUCUUCCGCAAUCUAACAACAAAUCUACAACCAAAGCCUAGCAAAGAAGAUCUUCCUCAUUCUAACAACAAAUUACCCCGGUGGGUUAGGGAGGCAAUCAGAAAUCAAAAAUCGAACCAGAGACCGGAGGUGGCGUAAAUUUGCAGUUCACUGCUCUCAGCCCAAUCCUUGCCGCCCUUGCCGCCUCUCGGAAUUCAGCAGCACUCAACUUCCUGAAAACCUGCCGCCAAUCUUCUAAUCUCAUUGAUCAGAAGAAAUAAGGUUCAUGCCCUGUUUUCCACACAGCCAUUCAUAGUCACUAGUGCCUCAGCAAUCAAAG
RNAcentral lists this long non-coding RNA (403 nucleotides) under Prunus dulcis (almond). RNAcentral's name for it is "sRNA ncRNA". The record is from RNAcentral. Lineage: Eukaryota; Viridiplantae; Streptophyta; Magnoliopsida; Rosales; Rosaceae.